This 382-nucleotide ribosomal RNA is filed under the name uncultured eukaryote. RNAcentral's name for it is "partial 18S ribosomal RNA". It matches the Rfam family "Eukaryotic small subunit ribosomal RNA", at positions 592 to 975 of the family's 1831-position model. The record is from RNAcentral.
CAAUAGCGUAUAUUUAAGUUGUUGCAGUUAAAAAGCUCGUAGUUGGAUUUCGGAUGGGAGCGAUCGGUCUGGCGCUUAGCGCGAGUACUUGCAUCGUCUCCGGCCAUCCUUGGGGAGAGUCUGUCUGGCAUUAGGUUGUCGGGCAGAGGAUCCUCAUCGUUUACUGUGAAAAAAUUAGAGUGUUCAAAGCAGGCUUAUGCCGUUGAAUAUAUUAGCAUGGAAUAAUAAGAUAGGACUUUGGUACUAUUUUGUUGGUUUGCGCACCAAAGUAAUGAUUAAUAGGGACAGUUGGGGGUAUUCGUAUUCCGUUGUCAGAGGUGAAAUUCUUGGAUUUACGGAAGACGAACUACUGCGAAAGCAUUUACCAAGAAUGUUUUCAUUA